GUCAAGUAGGCACCUAAAUAUCCAAAUCAAGAGGGAAGUUGUUUUGGGAGUGAACAACACAGAGGCAGACUCAAGUCCUCCUGAGAUAAUUUAGGGGUGAUGUGAGAAUGGAGAAGCAAGGUCUGAGCCCCAUGACCUCUCUCUGGCAGAGGAGAAGGAACUCCCAGAGAGGAGACAGUCCUGGAAACUGUUGGAAGAGGCUAUUUUAGGAGUGUCCCUAUGAGAGUACAAAAAUCAGAAAAGCUAUUCAGGGACCCCAGCACACAUCCAACCCCCACCUCCUCUUUUCCUCUGAGCCAGGCAAGCAGUCUGUGGGCCAGUGAGUGAAUUGAAUUGGAGCUCUCAGAAUCUGGACUGGCCUUGUCCCAGGCAGAGCUUCAUGACAUUAAAUUAUUAUCUCUUCCUUCCUCGGUCCCAAGUUCCUUAACCCCCAAGCUGCUGAGUAUGUAGGUAUUAGAAAGAAAGCAAAUAAACCACUUUACACUGAUGUGUGAAUGCUGUUUAACCAGCUAGUUCUUGUUGAGAUAUAUUGUUGAAAAAAGGCGGAACUAAAUCUCUAAUCUGUGGAAUUUCAGGCCACCUAAUACGUGUAAGGCAAUAAAUGCCCUUGGGAGGGAAGACACUUUGAGGUGGGGGCUGUCACACUGCUUCCCCUUCCCACUCCUUCUAUGAUUCCUGCAGCAGCUUUUCUUCCACUAUUUCUGAAUCUCUAGAGUCUUGAAAACCUCCACCAUUACAAAGUGGUCCCUUUGGCCCUCAUAGCCAUGCCCCUGACAAUUAUGUUCAUAAUAAUAGCUAUUAUUGGGUACUCGCUAUGUGCACAUACUAGACCAAGCAUUUGACACAGGUUGACCUCAUUUAGAUGUCAGAACAACCCUAUGAGGCUGGGCCAGUCACUACUCUCAUUCUGUAGGUGAGGCCAUGGAGGAUUAGUAAUGUGAAUUAGCUGAGAUUGAAAUAGCGUCUUGCUCCCCAGUCCACACUCAGGGUGGUGUGGGUGGGAUAGAAGCCAGAGACUGCCCAUGUUUGUGUUUGCUGUCCUCAGAAUCCACAUGUGCAUCCCUGAUCUGGUUCUCUGAGGUGGCUCUUAGUAUGCUUGACUCUGUUUCCCCUAUUCUGAGUUUUCACAAGUGAACAGCCCAGGCCAAGACCACGGGUGCUAAUUACAAGCAAGAUGGGAGUUAUAUGGGGUGUCAGCUCCUGUCUCUUGAAAGAGAGGACCAAAAAAAUGCCUCCUCAUUCUAGAAAGAUGAGGUUGGGGACACAAUCUUUUCAGGCCAAAUCUCUUGGGCAGAGUUUAAAGUAACCACAGAAGUAUAUGGAUGCUUCCCUCACUGUUUCUGAGAUGUCCAAAUUUUUCUUUUUCUAGAACAGAACCUUUAGAAGGUUCCAUAAUCCUCCCUCUCCUGGCUCAGAGGCCCAGCUACACUUUAUAAAACAACCCAGAGCCAUCUGAUUUGAAGCAUGUACUGGCUCGUGUGUGCAAGACAGUAAUUACCUCCAAUUCCAGUUAGGAAAGCUGAAACCUGCCUUUUUCAUGCCUCAAACAAUUAUGGAAACGCCUUUUGAAGCUCUGGAUAGAAUAGAAAAGCAAAACAAACCAGAACCAAUUAGAGCCUGGGAUUUGAGCAUGGCUUAGUUUAGUGCAGUGGGACUCAGGAGGAACUGUGGGAGAGGGUCAGGGGUCACUCCAAACCUCCAGCUGCCGACCAAUUUUGCCUGUGCCAAAAGAACCAUUAUUUUGUAUUUAAAAUCAAGGCCUCUCUCCUGGUCCAGGAACAGCCUCUGCAUCAGCUGUGAAGAAGACUCCCUGAUUAGAUAAGGCCUGGAAUGCAUUUGAUGUUGAGCAAAACAGUUCUCUGACAGCUUUCCUUAUGUGCCAUUAGAAUAUUUUUCCCUCAGCUGAAACUUGGUGAGAUAAACUGAAUCCCUGGGGACUCUUGUUUUGGGGUGCAUAUUUGAGGAAUUUAUGUGGCCUGUGUGCUAUUUGGAAUUAAGGUUCUCCAGUCUUGAAACUCCUCUGGGCUUAGUAGCAGAAUCUGGCCAUUUGGAGUCAGUCUGGGUAACCACUGCUAUGAGAAUGGAAAGCGGAAUACUGGGCAAGAGGUCAGAGGUCAGAAAGCAGCCCUGGGGUGGGGUGGAAGCCUUAGGGCUCAUGCUUCUUUAUAGAACCCAAGGGUAGUUUUGUGACAUUCAGCACUAUGCCCCAAAGUAUAGAGAUGUAAGUGGAGCUGGGAUAUGGAGGUUUGCUGGAACAAUAGAAUUGUCUUAGCCAAGAGCUCUUCAUGACAAUAAUUGUCCAGGUGGCCUUUUGAAUUAAUAGGACUGGGCUGACUGUUAGGGAGACAUGACACUCUCCUAAGAGGCUCCCUUUUGAGUUUAGAUUAGGGUAAAAUGCGGCACCAAAGGGCCCCAAGAGAACCCAGUCUGCUAGAUUCGUGCCUAUACCCCAAGCUGAGAAGAAAAGCUUUCUCUUGGCAUAAGUACUCAGCCCUCUAUCUGCCCGUCUCCACUGCCUUGACAAUGGAUCCUGAUAUCUUACCUUAACUAUUAGCAAUAGCCUUUAUGGGAAUAGUAUGCCUAUAGAGCAAAGCAAAAAAAGGCACUUUGAUUAGGAAUGUGUCUUCUACCCUCAAGGUGGAAUGAAUAUCAAUGUCUGGAGACAUUACAAAAUGGCUGGUUCUGGUGACUCUAAGAGAUAGGGUUCAUGUAUUAUUAGGCCUUUUAACAAUUAUAAGAGCCAAGAUGUAUUACAGCUUUACCAAGUACUAUGCACUGUUCUAAAGGCUUUGCAUGGUUCACUCAUUUACUCCUGACUCCAGCCCUAUAGGGUAGGUACUAUUAUUAUCCUCAUGUUGCAUAUGAGGAAAGUGAGAGAGAGAGGUCACAUGACCUACCCAGGAACACACACAGAAUCAGCAUAAUGGACCAACAGAGAAAGCUCCUGUCAUGAUCCCAGAGUGGCUUAGAAGCACUGAAAAGUUUGAAACAUAUAUAACAAGAUGCUUAAAAUGUAAAAAAUCCAACCUUUUUAGGCUGGACAGACUAAAAGUGUGUGGAUAUAGAUAGUGUAUGGAUACUCUGAGUGGGUAACACACUGGAGUGUUGGAAUUAGGAAUACUC
RNAcentral lists this long non-coding RNA (3123 nucleotides) under Canis lupus familiaris (dog). RNAcentral's name for it is "lncRNA (ENSCAFG00000052955.1, ENSCAFG00805004074.1)". Lineage: Eukaryota; Metazoa; Chordata; Mammalia; Carnivora; Canidae. The record is from RNAcentral.